RNAcentral lists this ribosomal RNA (383 nucleotides) under uncultured eukaryote. Its description in RNAcentral is "partial 18S ribosomal RNA". It matches the Rfam family "Eukaryotic small subunit ribosomal RNA", at positions 592 to 976 of the family's 1831-position model. The record is from RNAcentral.
CAAUAGCGUAUAUUAAAGUUGUUGCAGUUAAAAAGCUCGUAGUUGGAUUUCUGGUGGGAGCGAUCGGUCUGGCGCUUAGCGCGAGUACUUGCAUCGUCUCCGGCCAUCCUUGGGGAGAGUCUGUCUGGCAUUAAGUUGUCGGGCAGAGGAUCCUCAUCGUUUACUGUGAAAAAAUUAGAGUGUUCAAAGCAGGCUUAUGCCGUUGAAUAUAUUAGCAUUGAAUAAUAAGAUAGGACUUUGGUACUAUUUUGUUGGUUUGCGCACCAAAGUAAUGAUUAAUAGGGACAGUUGGGGGUAUUCGUAUUCCGUUGUCAGAGGUGAAAUUCUUGGAUUUACGGAAGACGAACUACUGCGAAAGCAUUUACCAAGGAUGUUUUCAUUAA